Molecule: ribosomal RNA, 253 nt
Filed under: uncultured bacterium
Lineage: Bacteria
Description: partial 16S ribosomal RNA
Rfam family: Bacterial small subunit ribosomal RNA
Source: RNAcentral
UACAGAGGGUGCAAGCGUUGUUCGGAAUCACUGGGCGUAAAGGGUGCGUAGGCGGGUUUUUAAGUCAGAGGUGAAAUCCUGGAGCUCAACUCCAGAACUGCCUUUGAUACUGAAAGUCUUGAGUAUGGGAGAGGUGAGUGGAACUGCGAGUGUAGAGGUGAAAUUCGUAGAUAUUCGCAAGAACACCAGUGGCGAAGGCGGCUCACUGGCCCAUUACUGACGCUGAGGCACGAAAGCGUGGGGAGCAAACAGG